Molecule: ribosomal RNA, 484 nt
Filed under: uncultured bacterium
Lineage: Bacteria
Description: partial 16S ribosomal RNA
Rfam family: Bacterial small subunit ribosomal RNA
Source: RNAcentral
AUUGAACGCUGGCGGCAGGCCUAACACAUGCAAGUCGAACGGAAGCAGAGAGCUUGCUCCUGGAUUCAGCGGCGGAGGGGUGAGUGAUGCCUAAGAAUCUGCCUGGCUAUGGGUGAUAACGUCCGGACAUGGGCGCUAAUACCGCAUAAGCCCAGAGGGCGAAAGGGUGGGAUCUUCGGACCUCACGAUAUCAGAUGAGUCUAGGUCGGAUUAGCUAGUUGGUGGGGUAAAGGCCUACCAAGGCGACCAUCCGUAACUGGUCUGAGAGGAUGAUCAGACACACUGGAACUGAGACACGGUCCAGACUCCUACGGGAGGCAGCAGUGGGGAAUAUUGGACAAUGGGCGAAAGCCUGAUCCAGCCAUGCCGCGUGUGUGAAGAAGGCCUUCGGAUUGUAAAGCACUUUAGGUUGGGAAGAAAGGCAGUAAGUUAAUACCUUGCUGUUUUGACGUUACCAACAGAAUAAGCACCGGCUAACUUCGUG